GCAACGGUUCCGCAAACUCUCUUACGCACCACGCGACGUUUCGUCGGCAGCAGCAACAGAACAACCCAAGAUGCUUCGAGAGCUCCUUCCCCUCCCUACCUCCUUCCCCUGCUCUCCCCACCACCCCCGCAGCGCAGGCCGCCGCUCGGGACCUCUUCCUCCCCAACCAAAACUUUAUCUUCGCGCCCCCCUCAAACGUCGUCGUAAUGUCGGCGCGGACCGUCGCCCGACCCCUCAAACAGGAGCAUCGUCGUCCUGUCGGCGCGGGGUGGAGCGACAUCCUAUCCUUCGUGUGCCGACUUCAAUUGGAGCUCCAUCCCCUUCUCUCUUGGACAUCGUCCCCGUGCUCGAGCCGCCAUGACGCGGGAAGCCGCCCGGAACUUCUCCCUCCCCGCACCAUCCUAUCCUCCUUGUGUCAACUCCAAUUGGAGCUCCAUCCCCUCCCCACCUCAGACACCGUACCGUAGCGGUGCUCGAGCCGCUGCCAAGAGCUCUAUUCUCCUCCCCCUUCCCCUCAAGCGAUGUCGCCUUGCCCGUGUAGGACGGCUCAACAUGUGGUAAUCCAUCGCUCUUUUGUCAAGUCAGCAACAGGGGCAACUGACCGGUACAACAAAUCCUUUGCACGACGCUACCGGAGUGGCACGAGCUACCACGGCCACUAGACGUAGCUGCCUCAUCCCCUGUCUCCCUCCUUGCCUCCCCUGCCGAUCUCCUCUUGGCUUCCUGCUUUACCGUCUCUAGAGUUCUAGAUCCCCAAGUUUAUUUUCAGACAAUUCCAUUUCACCUGUCAUUCACAUGGCCACGAUGUAUCAAACACCUUAUCUUUGCACUGCACCGAUGAAGGUCGAUCAGUAUUCAGUACCACUUGCUCUUCCAUCUUACUACUACUAAUUCAUUGCACGUCUACAUGACAUUCAAUAGAGGCUGAAAUUAGUUGAGUGGGUUAACCUGUAGUUCCAGUAUGCAAACUACAAGAACAACGUCUGCAACAAGAGUGGGAAGGGAUCCUAAGGCUGGAGCUGAUCAACCAGAGAGCGAACUUCGCCUUUGCGCUCUUCUCCGAAUACUUCUCGGUGGGACCAGGUGACAGAGAUGAAACCAUCGAAAGCAACCAUCCAAACCUUUUCCAGUGCUGCUAAGAAGGGAUCAAUUUUCUGCACAAAGAUGCAAACUGUGGUGUCUGAGACAGCAGAUCGAACCUGGACCAGGUAUAUUGAGAAUUAAUGGCUAAGCUGCUAUUCUCUGCAAAAACGUCAAUGUUCCUUCCCUUCGAUCCAUAGAUGUGUCCAUGUAAAAAGAGCAAGAGGCAACCAGUACACUUAGUUUUCAAUCAUCAUUUUUAUAGUAGCAAUAUGACGAUCUAAGCCUCCAACAACUUCACCCCGUCAGAAACGCGUGCACCCGUGCGUCCACGUCGGCAAAAAAAACAUGUGCGUAGGAUGUUCCAUCAACGGACGAGAUUUCUUCUCAGCCUCCCCGGGCCGCUGUAGACGCCUGGAGAAUUCUAGCGAUGUGCAGUUCAUAAAAAAAUCAACUGUUUUCUAGAAGGGCGUAUAAAUAGGCAUCGCGUGCCUAGCGUCGGCUACCGUGACUGCGGCGUCGGCGGCUGGGACCAGCGGCUGUGCGUCCCCUCUCUAGAAGCUUCGUCCGUCUUCACCAUCUGUGCAGGUUAGGUGAAAAACGUUGUAGCCUUUUCCUCCCCAACAACGCAUACUCUUAGCUAGGGUUUCAACGCAUCUGACAGCUGAAGCUAGGGCGUCGCCACCGUCAAUGUCAUGGCACUCCCGCUCUGUUCACCAAUCGCAUCGACAGGUAACAAUCCAUCAUCUCCGUAUCACCUCCUUGGAUCCUCCUCCGUUCCGUGACUUCCACAGCAUGCCGCCAGGAGCCCUAUCCUCAAUCAUGUCAUGUCUUUCCCGCCGAGCUACACACCUUCAUGAGCCCACCCCCUCCUCCCCCAAACGACGCCGGGUGACAAGGAGGAAAAGUAGUAAUGACGACAUGCAAACUGAAUAAGAUUAUGUAUUUUGAAUACGAUUCUAGAGAUGCACACGCUCUGUUCAUCAAUGCUGCUACGUUUUGAAACUUCAGCAUUUCAUUACUGCUACAAAUAUAUGUACACGGUAAUAUAAUCUCUUAGCUCCUCAUGUUGCUACAUUUGUAAACUUCAAUAUUUCAUUACUGCUACAAAUCUAUUUACAGUUCCAAUUGACUAUGGUAGCUUCCUUGCUUUCUGUUCU
Zea mays is the source of this 2240-nucleotide long non-coding RNA. RefSeq lists it as uncharacterized. NCBI's taxonomy places the organism in Eukaryota, Viridiplantae, Streptophyta, Magnoliopsida, Poales, Poaceae. The transcript has 2 exons. The record is from RefSeq and is a predicted model, not a curated record.